GCGCCCGUAGCUCAAUUGGAUAGAGUAACUGGCUUCGAACCAGUAGGUUGGGGGUUCGAGUCCCUCCGGGCGUACCA
This 77-nucleotide transfer RNA is filed under the name Chloroflexota bacterium. RNAcentral's name for it is "Chloroflexi bacterium tRNA-Arg". It matches the Rfam family "tRNA". From Rfam's summary of the family: Transfer RNA (tRNA) molecules are approximately 80 nucleotides in length. Their secondary structure includes four short double-helical elements and three loops (D, anti-codon, and T loops). Lineage: Bacteria; Bacillati; Chloroflexota. The record is from RNAcentral.